UUCUACAGCCAUGCCACCCUGAAUGCGCUUGAUCUCGUCUGAUCUCCAAAGCUAAGCAGGAUAGUUUUUGGAUGAGAGAACUGGGGUCAUGAUAGUGGGGGGUGGGGGUGGGGAGGAAGCAUUAUAAAAC
This 130-nucleotide ribosomal RNA is filed under the name Echinops telfairi (small Madagascar hedgehog). Lineage: Eukaryota; Metazoa; Chordata; Mammalia; Afrosoricida; Tenrecidae. The record is from RNAcentral.